AUCUGUUUUCUUUUUAGAGACAAAUUUGAUUGGGUAGUUUCAGAUUUCCUGCCAAAUCAAAUACAUCAAAGGAAAGAAUCUAGAAUCGGUAUUCGUGUUUUUGGUGAAAAUAUUGAAAAAUUGUAAUGUUUGAUUUUCGAAAAAUAUAUAAAAAAACUUAUUUUUAAUUGAUAAUUUGGCUGGGUAAUUUGAUAUUUUCUUGUUUGGAGUAGGAAUUACAUGAGUAUUUAAUUGAUUGACAGAUCUUAUUAGUUUGAUGUUUAACCUGAAUAUCAGCACUCGAAAGUGAUACAGAUAUUUCGAUAACUGUACGUCUUGUUCGUUAUGAAUACAAAUGGAAGACUCUGCAUUUUCUUAUGUGUUUAAUUGAAAUGAAAAAUAUCACCUAGAAAAGAAAAUAUUUUCCAUCUUUUGUGGAAAAUAAAAAUCACCUCUACUCAAGGAAAAUAUUUUCCUUAAUAACAAGAAAAAUUAGGCAUAUUUUCAAAAGUUGGGAAAUGUUUUUCAUGGAAAAAAAUAGCAAUCAAACACUUCAAGUGAAAAUUUGGAUGGAAAACUAAUAUUUUCCAUGGAAAAUAAAUGUAAUCAAACACACCUUUAAUGUUUGUUUCAUUUCUUCGUAGUCUUGUCCUGAAUUGAAUUUAAACUUGCAUGUAUAGUGGUGUUUUUUAUAUGCCUGAAAGCGAUAGUUAUGACUAGCGUCGUUCUAUCUUCGUUCAGGGGAAAAAAUUACCCGUUCGAGUGAUAAGUUAUAACAAUAAUUUCCCAAUUUCAUGUUAAGAAUAACUAUGAUUUGUUUGAUGAGAAAUAAAAAGGAAUAUCAAAAAUUAUAGUGGUUGCAGCUGAAACAACUGCUUUCGAAACAGCGGGAAGAAAAUCAAUCGACAACUAAAGUGAGUCAAAGUCGAAAAAAGGGGCCCCUUUACCAUUUCUGUAUAAAUGGAUUGAGCAUCUCCUUUUUGCUUUGGAAUUAGUCUGUGUGUGCAAAAUAAAUUCUUCACAGAGUACUCCCAUGGGCCCCACCCCAUAUGUGUAAAAAAUUGCAAAAUAUAUCCACCCCACUGACCCCCUUGUGUGUGUUCUAGAC
Molecule: long non-coding RNA, 1087 nt
Filed under: Olea europaea (common olive)
Lineage: Eukaryota; Viridiplantae; Streptophyta; Magnoliopsida; Lamiales; Oleaceae
Description: long non-coding RNA (OEUR_LNC001671)
Source: RNAcentral